RNAcentral lists this ribosomal RNA (236 nucleotides) under Microbacterium saccharophilum. RNAcentral describes it as "partial 16S ribosomal RNA". It matches the Rfam family "Bacterial small subunit ribosomal RNA", at positions 77 to 314 of the family's 1533-position model. Lineage: Bacteria; Bacillati; Actinomycetota; Actinomycetes; Micrococcales; Microbacteriaceae. The record is from RNAcentral.
GACUGCUCUGCUGGAUCAGUGGCGAACGGGUGAGUAACACGUGAGCAAUCUGCCCCUGACUCUGGGAUAAGCGCUGGAAACGGCGUCUAAUACCGGAUACGAGCUGCGAAGGCAUCUUCAGCAGCUGGAAAGAACUUCGGUCAGGGAUGAGCUCGCGGCCUAUCAGCUAGUUGGUGAGGUAACGGCUCACCAAGGCGUCGACGGGUAGCCGGCCUGAGAGGGUGACCGGCCACACU